CAGUAGCCGCGGUAAUACGUAGGUGGCAAGCGUUAGGCGGAAUCACUGGGCUUAAAGCGUGUGUAGGCGGAUGCCUAAGUACCUUGUGAAAUCCCACGGCUUAACCGUGGAACUGCUCGGUAUACUGGGUGUCUUGAGCUGUCUAGGGGCUACCGGAACAAAUGGUGGAGCGGUGAAAUGCGUAGAUAUCAUUUGGAACGCCAAUGGUGAAAACAGGUAGCUGGGGACAUGCUGGCGCUGAGACACGAAAGCUAGGGGAGCGAACGGGAUUAGAGACCCCCGUAGUCCCUGUCUCUUAUAC
This 301-nucleotide ribosomal RNA is filed under the name uncultured bacterium. RNAcentral's name for it is "partial 16S ribosomal RNA". It matches the Rfam family "Bacterial small subunit ribosomal RNA", at positions 509 to 807 of the family's 1533-position model. The record is from RNAcentral.